Molecule: ribosomal RNA, 506 nt
Filed under: uncultured bacterium
Lineage: Bacteria
Description: partial 16S ribosomal RNA
Rfam family: Bacterial small subunit ribosomal RNA
Source: RNAcentral
AACGAACGCUGGCGGCGUGCUUAACAUAUGCAAGUCGAACGCGAACGGGUUCUUCGGGACCUUAGUAGAGUGGCGCACGGGUGAGUAACGCGUAAGUUAUCUACCUCGGCAUCUGGAAUAGCUCACCGAAAGGUGUGCUAAUACCGGAUACGUUGAGUAAUCAAGAAAGGUGGCCUCUCUUUGAUGCUACCGUGCUGAGAUGAGCUUGCGUACCAUUAGCUAGUUGGUGGGGUAAUGGCCUACCAAGGCGACGAUGGUUAGCGGGUCUGAGAGGAUGAUCCGCCACACUGGAACUGGAACACGGACCAGACUCCUACGGGAGGCAGCAGUGAGGAAUAUUGCGCAAUGGGGGCAACCCUGACGCAGCGACGCCGCGUGGAUGAUGAAGGCCUUCGGGUCGUAAAAUCCUGUCAGGUGGAAAGAAAUGCAUAUGUGCUAAUACCAUGUAUGCUUGACGGUACCACCGAAGGAAGCACCGGCUAACUCCGUGCCAGCAGCCGCAGUAA